This 423-nucleotide ribosomal RNA is filed under the name uncultured Alphaproteobacteria bacterium. Its description in RNAcentral is "bacterial SSU rRNA". It matches the Rfam family "Bacterial small subunit ribosomal RNA", at positions 40 to 495 of the family's 1533-position model. Lineage: Bacteria; Pseudomonadati; Pseudomonadota; Alphaproteobacteria. The record is from RNAcentral.
CGGCAGGCUUAACACAUGCAAGUCGAACGAGAAACUAGACUUCGGUUUAGUGGAAAGUGGCAGACGGGUGAGUAACGCGUGGGAAUCUACCUUUGAGUGGGGAAUAACAACUAGAAAUGGUUGCUAAUACCGCAUAUACCCUUCGGGGGAAAGGCUUCGGCCGCUCUUAGAUGAGCCCGCGUACGAUUAGUUUGUUGGUAAGGUAAAGGCUUACCAAGACUACGAUCGUUAGCUGGUUUGAGAGGAUGAUCAGCCACACUGGGACUGAGACACGGCCCAGACUCCUACGGGAGGCAGCAGUGGGGAAUAUUGGACAAUGGGCGAAAGCCUGAUCCAGCCAUGCCGCGUGAGUGAAGAAGGCCUUAGGGUUGUAAAACUCUUUCGGCAGGGAAGAUAAUGACGGUACCUGCAGAAGAAGCACCG